Mycena metata is the source of this 94-nucleotide non-coding RNA. The record is from the annotation of a GenBank genome assembly. NCBI's taxonomy places the organism in Eukaryota, Fungi, Basidiomycota, Agaricomycetes, Agaricales, Mycenaceae.
GGCCAGGUGGCGGAAUGGUAACGCGCGCGAGACAAAUACACAGACUCCCAUAAUGUUUCCUCGCAAGGUCUCCGUUUGAUUCGGGGUCUGGCCU